This is a long non-coding RNA of Zalophus californianus (California sea lion), 1279 nucleotides long. RefSeq lists it as uncharacterized. The transcript has 5 exons. NCBI's taxonomy places the organism in Eukaryota, Metazoa, Chordata, Mammalia, Carnivora, Otariidae. The record is from RefSeq and is a predicted model, not a curated record.
UCAGCUUCUCCCCAGAGCUCGCCGCCUGGCUUCCAGCCCCACGCUGAGCCACAGGCAGCUAUAAGCAAUACUAGGUGCACAACCCUCUCUUCCCCUUUUUUCCUCUUCCUCGUGUGUUUUUAUGAACAUCCAAAGGGAAGAUAAUUAAAACCUGCAAGAACACCGGCUGGCAGCGAAAAAGAAAACCUUGGUGACUCGGGGACGACGCCACAUGUUUAUGGCAAGGGGAAAGGAAUCCUAAUUGUACGAUUUCCUAGCGGCCCAGUAGUUAUGCAGCCAAGGCUCCGCAAGUGACGGGCGCACGGGUGCGCGCACGUGCACACGCGCGCUCCGAAGCCGGGAACCAGAGAAGAGGACCAGGCACCCGAGGGUCUGUAUUUAGCGUGGCAGAGCAGAACAAAGGAGCAGGAGAGCAGGCAUCUCGUCACCUCUCACUGGGUUUGCUGGCUACUAAGCACUCACACUUGAACUCGAAAGACAGAAGUCGUAUCUUUCUCUCCCGAGUGCUGAGGGCUGGCCGAACAGCAUCAAGAUUUGGGUGAGCCAGUGUAAUCCCCUUUCGUUUUUCAUCUGCUUCGCCGAUUGUAAAGAGAAACAGGGCCGCCCGCCGCUCUGCAUGUGACACAAGGCUUGAGGCACACACAUUCCAGAGUGGCCUUCCCCGGGAGCCAGCUGUGCGCAGGUCUUGCUAACACUGCUGUUUGAACGUGGAGCAAUGUUAAUAUCAGGUAGCUGACAAACAUUAUUACCCAAAGUUAGAACUACCCUAGAGGAGAACUCCGUCUGCCAAGUGCUAACAGCUAGCAGAUGCACUUGUGUCUCGGGAUUCCAGCCCUGGAGUUCCGCUAGGCACUGCGCUGGUUCCCUCUGCUCUCCCUCACGGUACUACCCGGAGCUCCGAGCUCAGCCUCUGCUCUGAAGAAAACUGGAGAGCAAGGCCUUGAUGACAGGAGAUUGUCUUUUUGUGUUCCCAAGACUCUGCACACGGUCAGCCUUAUUCGGUGUCUGCUGAACAGGGAAUGGAUACAGGGGAGGGUCCAACGGGAAACUCUCGUCAGCUUGUGACAGGAGGUCUUCUGAUGGUGCGUCUUCGAAAUCCCAAAGGGGAAAAUGAAAAGGAGAAAUUCUCAGAAGAGGUUCUCACAUCGUGGUGCCCGGAUCAACAUCACCAGGGAACUUGUCAGAAAUGCAAACACUGGGGUGCCUGGGUGGCUCAGUCGGUGAAGCGUCUGCCUUUGGCUCAGGGUCCUGGCAUCGAGCCCCACGUCGGGCUCCUCAC